Molecule: ribosomal RNA, 497 nt
Filed under: uncultured bacterium
Lineage: Bacteria
Description: partial 16S ribosomal RNA
Rfam family: Bacterial small subunit ribosomal RNA
Source: RNAcentral
GAUGAACGCUGGCGGCGUGCCUAAUACAUGCAAGUCGAGCGAACAGACGAUGAUCUUGCUCCUCUCACGUUAGCGGCGGACGGGUGAGUAACACGUGUAUCACCUCCCUAUCAGACUGGUAUAACUUCGGGACACCGGCUCUAAUACCGUAUAAUCUCUUGCACCGCGUGGUUCAAUAGUGAAAUUCGGUUUUGCUGUCUCUUCUCGAUGCAUCUGCGCCGCAUUAGCUAGUUGGUAAGGUAACGGCUUACCAAGGCAACGAUGCGUAGCCGAACUGAGAGGGUGAUAGGCCACCCUGGAACGGAGACACGGUCCAGACGCCUAAGGGAGGCAGCAGUAGGGAAUCUUACGCAAUGGGCGAAAGCAUGACGGAGCAACGCCGAGUGAGUGAUGAAGGUCUUCGGAUCGUAAAACUCUGUUAUUAGGGAAGAACAAAUGUGUAAGUAACUAUGCACGUCUUGACGGUACCUAAUCAGAAAGCAACGGCUAACUACGUG